Molecule: long non-coding RNA, 1400 nt
Organism: Cryptotermes secundus
Lineage: Eukaryota; Metazoa; Arthropoda; Insecta; Blattodea; Kalotermitidae
Exons: 2
Source: RefSeq, a predicted model, not a curated record
UCUCAGUGCCUCAACCCACUACGCUACCGCGUGUCCUCCAGAAUAUAAUUAUCACUGAGUUUUAAAGCAUAUUUUUCUAAUAUUUCCCAACUUCGCAAGAAAUAUUAAUGCAGUAUUAUUAUUUGUGUGGUUGUAACUGAAAAUGAAAAAGUAUUUAAACAUCUACACUUGCGAUGGUCAGGAAGUACACUAUUGGCAUCUCUUUACAGUCUUCAAAUUUGCAAUUGGCGCUGCACAAAGCGGCACAAUCUUAAAUUAAAUUGCGUUUUCAAAAGAACAUUCGGUUUUCUAGAUAUGGGAUGCCAUGUAUUCCUACAGAACACUGCGACCUUUCUCCUUAGGCAUUACGUCACUUCAAACGUGAUGUAAUAAAUACAAAACGAGAAAAUGAUACCUAGACGCAAUGAAUACACGGAACGACUUCCAUCACGAGAUGGUCGUUUGAGAGACCACACCCAGGAUUCCAGCUGCUUCAAUUUAAAUCAAAUUAAGAAAAUAUAAUUAUUUAGAGGAGAUUCUGAUGCCCGCCCAUACGAACACAACCCCCUUAAAUGCCUCAACUGAGAGAGAUUGAGCCCCACCUACUAAAACCGACAAUAGAAGCAUCUUAUUCACACCUUUCUUCACCUGGUUUGCCAAGCCAUCUUACAAAGGAUACCACACACAAAUUUAGAAAAGGAAAAACACACAUACUUGCUUUUCAAGGUCAAGGGCAAUCUGAGAAUUGAUUUAUUUUUUGUUGUUAUAUCGACACCACCUUCGUUCUACUUAACCCACUAUAGUAUAAAUAUGGGACAGUGGUGAGUCUGGGCACAGUACAAGCAAUCCUGCAGAAUACUCAGAGGCUUGAAGCUCAACCAAACAAAUCUUCAAUCAACAUGAACAAGCUGCUCGUGUUCUUCUUCGUCGCCGCUAUCGCGCUGGUCGCCACGGUGUCUGCCGGUCCCAUGCCAGCACCUUUCCCUCUGCCCGCUAAGGACCUCAAGGGCUCAGAGGCUGUGUAUUACUCGGCAUAUUCUGCCUACCCUUACGCCGCUGUCCCAUACGGCUAUGCGUAUUACGGAUAAAUCAACCGAAACAAAAGACAGACACUGGCAUUGGACAACGGACCACCCCAACGGACUACGCGAAAUGGAUAUGACACGUCUGCGCUUAACUCUCUUCUUCUAAUUACAUGUAAAUGAUACUUCCCUUAUUGUAUUAUGUGCCAUUUCAUCUUACAUCCCGCCAAAAAAAAAUCUUAUUGAAGCCAUACACGAUUCCAAAGUGGUGAAAGUAAAGAUGGUUGAAGUUGCGUCUACAUUUCCCAAAUUCAACACUGCAACAUGGAAAUAUAUUGAAAGAUAAUUUUCUGUGGUCAGUGAGAAGUUACAAAACUAAAUAAAAUAUAGAUAUAUCUA